GAAUAUGAAGCGAUAUAUUGCAAUUAGUUUCGACCUAAUAUUAGGUAAAUUUUACCCUUAUUCU
Molecule: transfer RNA, 64 nt
Filed under: Muscina angustifrons
Lineage: Eukaryota; Metazoa; Arthropoda; Insecta; Diptera; Muscidae
Description: tRNA-Arg
Source: RNAcentral